CAAAUAUCGAGAGAAAGCUGCUAAUUUCAUACAUGUCGCCUUGCCUAACUCAAAAUUCACGACAAUAUAAUUGAUUCUCUGCGUUUCAAUGAUUUUGGCCCGAUGAAUUAAUUAGGAGACUUAUACAAAUGGCUUCUUGCCCAAAUAAUCAAGAAUGUAGAGACGAAGACUUGACAAAUAAUACCGCUGUUAACAAAACCUCUGACCAUCCAAAUCGCUACAACGUCGUAAAAGAUGACGAAAUAUCCCUGGAAAAUUGUUAUGACAGUCAAUGUUUUCCUGAAUUUACAAAUGUUAAAGGGGUUCCUACAAUGUUGUACUCAAAGCAAUGUUAUUUUCAUGGGAAAAGCAAACGAGACAAGAUUGGACCUGAACCUUAGAUGGAUGAAAUAAACCAUAUUAUUUCUAAUGACUUUAAUACACGUGAGUCGAUUGAAUAAGAAAGAACAUGAACACAGGAUUGAAUUAAAUCUAAAUUUCGUCGAAUUAUAUUUUUAAUAUGCCAAAGUACAUAAAGAAAUGAUGGAAAAUGAAAGAUAUUAAGCAAACUCUUUCAACAAUUACUAAAGAUAUGGAGGAAAUGAUAGCUGGGAUUUUUCAGAUUUUUGAGAAGAUGAAUAUAGAUAAGCAUUUCACUCAAACUGUUGCUUACAAACAGAGCAUUUUUUACAUAGGAGGAUAUUAUGACGAUAAAGGAACAUCAUGUGAUCUUAUAUGUGAAUUGCAGGUUACUGGUAUUAAAUCAUAUAGUUUGAAAGUGUUGUGUCAUAUGCCUGAAUCACGGUUGAGCCAUGGAGCUGAGAUCAUUAAUGAUGAAAUUUUCGUCUUUGGAGGAUAUGGAAAGGAAGACGAAAUUCUCUCUAGCUUGAUAAAGAUUGAUCCAAGAUCUCUUAAAAUUAAAGCAAUGCCUCCAUUUCCUCAACCAUUAGCUGAAAAGGCAGCAGUUCGAUGAAAAGUCAUGUUGUUCUUUUUGGAGGCUACGAUGAUCGAGAAAUACUUAACGAUGUUAUCAUGGAUGGCUGUAAGUGAAGUUGUGGCAAAUUUGUUAAAUCAUCAAUAAAGGGAUCGGAAACAUGUCUUACAGGUUUAAGGCCGAAUUUUCAUACAAUAAUUUCAAUCGGUGCAAUCAUCUUAAUUGAUGCAAUCGUCUGGUGUGCUUCUUGAAGGAAGAUUUACCUGAAGUGAUGAAACAGUCUGCCUUCUUAUAAGGCUGGAGUGGAUGCAGAUCUUAUACUACUUGACGUUAUAUGUUCCUAAAAUUGUGUUUCGCCUGGAACGAUUAAAAAACCUUUCAGGUUGGUCGGGCAACGCUUGCAUUUAGGACAGUGGAUGUUUCAGAAAUGACCUUUCACCAACGAUAUUUAAUUCGAUAUACACACUUGCCUGGUUAAAUACAUUCUUGAUUCAGCACAUGCACGGAAGAAAAUAUAUAUGUUAAUACACGGUAAGGGGAUUAAAGAACGUAAUAAUACACGCUAAAGGGAAGAGAAAAUAUUUCAUUAAUAUGAACUUGCUUCUAUGAAGAAAGUAUAAAUGCUAAAUAGAUUCAAUUUUAAUAAUUUUUCACACGCAGCGCGAAGCGCAGAGUAUUCUUGAUAAGCAUAAUUUGUCAUAACGUGUUGAAUGCUUUGGCAACGAUUUCCCUAGUUUAUAAUGUUCGGCGUAUUAAAUGGCAAAUAUUCGAUUGUUGUUUUGCUACUAAAGGAAAUAUUUUAUUAAAAUAAACUCCCGUCUAUAAAAAAAAAGAAUAGAUGCUGAAUACAUUCAAUAAUUAUUUACUCAACAAAAAGCGCAGAGUAUUCUUGAUGAGUAUAUUUUGUCAUGGCAUUUUAGACGAUUUUGAGAAAUAUUUCCCUAAUUUAUAAUAUUUGGCGAAUAGAAAUAGAAUGGCAAA
Long non-coding RNA from Xenia sp. Carnegie-2017, 1894 nucleotides. RefSeq lists it as uncharacterized. NCBI's taxonomy places the organism in Eukaryota, Metazoa, Cnidaria, Anthozoa, Malacalcyonacea, Xeniidae. The record is from RefSeq and is a predicted model, not a curated record. The transcript has 4 exons.